Molecule: unclassified non-coding RNA, 250 nt
Filed under: Hevea brasiliensis (rubber tree)
Lineage: Eukaryota; Viridiplantae; Streptophyta; Magnoliopsida; Malpighiales; Euphorbiaceae
Source: RNAcentral
AAAAUUCUCAUGGGGACUGGCAAAAAUUUUCCUAAGUAGUAUUUUUGGAUUUUGUCAUACUGUAGCAUGCAGUCAACUGCAUGAAUGUUUGCUAUCAUCUUUAACUUAACACUGAAAAAUGCUUGUCUUGUAUGUCUGUCGUACUUGCUCUGUGUGUGCAGUACUCAUGUCUUUGUUUGUGUAUAUGCGUGUGAAUUUCUACAUGCACACAUGGCUCUGUUAUAUACCGACGUACAAGAUGAAAUUUUGG